RNAcentral lists this ribosomal RNA (253 nucleotides) under uncultured bacterium. RNAcentral's name for it is "partial 16S ribosomal RNA". It matches the Rfam family "Bacterial small subunit ribosomal RNA", at positions 524 to 776 of the family's 1533-position model. The record is from RNAcentral.
UACGUAGGUGGCAAGCGUUGUCCGGAAUUAUUGGGCGGAAAGCGCGCGAAGGCGGUCCUUUAAGUCUGAUGUGAAAGCCCACGGCUCAACCGUGGAGGGUCAUUGGAAACUGGGGGACUUGAGUGCAGGAGAGAAAAGUGGAAUUCCACGUGUAGCGGUGAAAUGCGUAGAGAUGUGGAGGAACACCAGUGGCGAAGGCGACUUUUUGGCCUGUAACUGACGCUGAGGCGCGAAAGCGUGGGGAGCAAACAGG